Molecule: ribosomal RNA, 596 nt
Filed under: uncultured bacterium
Lineage: Bacteria
Description: bacterial SSU rRNA
Rfam family: Bacterial small subunit ribosomal RNA
Source: RNAcentral
AGAGUUUGAUCAUGGCUCAGAUUGAACGCUGGCGGCAGGCCUAACGCAUGCAAGUCGAGCGGUAGAGAGAAGCUUGCUUCUCUUGAGAGCGGCGGACGGGUGAGUAAUGCCUAGGAAUCUGCCUGGUAGUGGGGGAUAACCGUUCGGAAACGGACGCUAAUACCGCAUACGUCCUACGGGAGAAAGCAGGGGACCUUCGGGCCUUGCGCUAUCAGAUGAGCCUAGGUCGGAUUAGCUAGUUGGUGGGGUAAUGGCUCACCAAGGCGACGAUCCGUAACUGGUCUGAGAGGAUGAUCAGUCACACUGGAACUGAGACACGGUCCAGACUCCUACGGGAGGCAGCAGUGGGGAAUAUUGGACAAUGGGCGAAAGCCUGAUCCAGCCAUGCCGCGUGUGUGAAGAAGGUCUUCGGAUUGUAAAGCACUUUAAGUUGGGAGGAAGGGUUGUAGAUUAAGUACUCUGCAAUUUUGACGUUACCGACAGAAUAAGCACCGGCUAACUCUGUGCCACAAGCCGCGGUAAUCCAGANGGUGCAAGCGUUAAUCGGAAUACUGGGCCUAAAGCCCCCUAGUGGUAAGUAAAGUGGNUGUGAAUCC